RNAcentral lists this ribosomal RNA (486 nucleotides) under uncultured bacterium. RNAcentral describes it as "partial 16S ribosomal RNA". It matches the Rfam family "Bacterial small subunit ribosomal RNA", at positions 28 to 507 of the family's 1533-position model. The record is from RNAcentral.
GAUGAACGCUGGCGGCGUGCUUAACACAUGCAAGUCGAACGCUGAAGACCUGGCUUUUGUUGGGUUGGAUGAGUGGCGAACGGGUGAGUAACACGUGAGUAACCUGCCCUCUUCUUUGGGAUAACGCCCGGAAACGGGUGCUAAUACUGGAUAUUCACUGAUCUUCGCAUGGGGGUUGGUGGAAAGGUUUGUUCUGGUGGGGGAUGGGCUCGCGGCCUAUCAGCUUGUUGGUGGGGUGAUGGCCUACCAAGGCUUUGACGGGUAGCCGGCCUGGGAGGGUGACCGGUCACAUUGGGACUGGGAUACGGCCCAGACUCCUACGGGAGGCAGCAGUGGGGAAUAUUGCACAAUGGGCGAAAGCCUGAUGCAGCGACGCCGCGUGAGGGAUGGAGGCCUUCGGGUUGUAAACCUCUUUCGCUCAUGGUCAAGCCGCAACUGUGGGUUGUGGUGAGGGUAGUGGGUAAAGAAGCGCCGGCUAACUACGUG